Molecule: long non-coding RNA, 1020 nt
Filed under: Nicotiana benthamiana
Lineage: Eukaryota; Viridiplantae; Streptophyta; Magnoliopsida; Solanales; Solanaceae
Description: long non-coding RNA (NBEN_LNC032162)
Source: RNAcentral
AAUUAAUCGCAGACCUAUGUCUAUAGACGGAUUAGCAUAUCUCAUAGCCCAUUUUCCAAUCGAUAUCCAAACAUAUAAGAAAAAGAAAGGUAUUGAGCUUGAAAGUGAGAUUUCAAUUUAUUUCAACAAAAGUAUAGUUUUAUAGAUGCGUACCUAAAUCUGAAAGCAACAAAGGGAUUGAACCCAAUAAGAGUCGGAUAAGCACAAAUAGAGCUCAGCGACAAGAAACAAUAGCAUAAACAGCGACGAGCUCGAUAAAACAACAGGAAAUUUUGGUAUGGAAAUAGAAUAGAGAGCAACAGUGAUACAGGAGCUCAAAAAGGACGUGAAUCAGCAGCAACUGGGAGUAACAACAGCAAAAAAUCACGAAUUCAUUCUCAAAACAAACCCGACUCGAUCGUGAAACUACCCAUAUGACCUCGACUUUAAAUACAGCAUAAGAAUACAAUUUUUGUUGAACAAAUAUCUUCAAUAUUAUUAGAAGCUCCACUGAAGCUUUACAAUUUCACAAAUGGCGAAUCAAAAAGAAACAGGGCGUGAAACAAUGAUCACAACUGGAAAAUCUUAGAAAGCCCACAGUGAUUCUCAAGGCGUUCGAAGUGGGUUUACAUGGAGCUCAAAUGGCUAUUUUAGGUAAUUUUCAGAUGUUCUACAGGUGAUUUUGGAGUGAUUGGUUUUCCGGUGAGGGGUCGUUUGGGUUGAAGAGGCGGAACGCUGGAGAUCCUUCCUUCUGGGGUCUCCUCUGCGCAGCUCCUCCAGAUUUCAAGGCGUCCUCCUCUGUAUAUUCGUGUAUGUAUAAUCUGUAUAGGCGUGUGUUUUUUGUGAAGAAGCAGCCCCAGCUGCGCAGCCUUACCCCAAUUUCCAGGCCUUUCUUCUUGCUUUGUAUAUUAUCUUGUGUAUAUUUUUGUGUGUAUUAGGUAUUUUAGGUUAGGGUUGAUUUGGGUAUUGGAUUGCGUUGGGUCGACCCGAUAUGGGGUUGAGUAGGGGCUAAUUUGGGUUGGGUUUUAAUUGAAGAAUGGG